UUUAUUCUUUACUGGAGAAUUUUCCUGUAGAUCUUGAUUUUAGGUGUAAAUUCUUGCUAUUACAUAAUUUUCUAUCUUUUUAUUUAAUAAUUAUUACUUCAUUUAUCUUGGAUUGAAUUGGUCUUUUUUUUUUUUUUUUUUUUCCUUUUUUGUUCUCUUUCUUUUUUACACAAAAUAUUAUUUCUCAUAAAUGAAAUUUAUUUUAGAACAAUAACUGAUGUCACUGUUUAAAUACUUCUAGAGUUAGUUAAUGUUUGGAUUAGAAACUUGUGAAAAUGUUCUCAGAUUCCCAGUGGCUCUAUCUAUCAAGAACAGAAACAAGUAAGAAACCUCACAUUAGUCUUUAUUCAGCUCUGGUCCUGAGAAUCUUUCAAAGAUAUUGUCACAGCAAUUGGCUUCUGAUUGACCUACCACUUCAACCAAAUACAUCUCAACAAUUUCCCUGAAAAAGAAAAAGAAAGUGACAGAAGUACUUAUUUGACAAAAUUGCUUCAAUUUUUCAGUUCUUCAUCAGUUAACAGAGUCUGAGGAAGAGCUGGGAUCUGUGCCUUGGAUGAGCCUGUUCACCACAGAGAAGAUGUCCUGGUCCCUUUGCCCUAGCUUCUCUGAGGCCAGUGGAGGAGCCAUCAGCCCAUCAGAGGACCCUCUCCACAGCCCAGAAGAACUCAGGGACACAAAGGUAAUGCCAUUCUCCAUACCAAGCAAAGUAUCAGCACUAUUAUGAACUCAUGAUCUGAAAGCCUCCAUAACAUCUCAGAGAAUGAAACCAAUCACCUAACAUAACAGAAGUGUUUUAUUUUCAUCAAUAUUUUUAAACUAUCUGCACACAGAAGAGUUCCCACAUCUGUAUAGAAGUACUUAAAAAUGACAGUUUAUUUGUCUUAAACUCUUCUAUGCAACAGAGCUGUGCUAUUCACAUACAUGGAGUAGCAUGUUAUUCUUACAGAAGUGCUUAAUUAGACACAAAGGAGAAAUCUAAGUUGUGAAAUAUCUUUGAAAAUUUUCUUUUUGAUGCUUCUUUUUUCUGUCUUUUCUCUCCAAAUGUAAUUUAUGCCUAAUAGAUUUUUUUUUUCAUUUUCAUCCUCAUAAUUUUAAUCAAAAUAACAAUUUAUUUCUAUCAAAAUGUGUGAAAAAGUAAAUAUGUUUCUACUAAAGUGAAUGUUUCUAUUCUAUUUUAAUGCCUG
This 1184-nucleotide long non-coding RNA is filed under the name Anas platyrhynchos platyrhynchos (common mallard). RNAcentral describes it as "lncRNA (ENSAPLG00000021840.1)". The record is from RNAcentral. Lineage: Eukaryota; Metazoa; Chordata; Aves; Anseriformes; Anatidae.